Molecule: long non-coding RNA, 1216 nt
Filed under: Equus asinus (donkey)
Lineage: Eukaryota; Metazoa; Chordata; Mammalia; Perissodactyla; Equidae
Description: lncRNA (ENSEASG00005030258.1)
Source: RNAcentral
GGAUUAUCCAGGUGGGCCCAAUGUAAUCAGAGGAGUCCUUAUGAAGAGAGAGGCAGAGGGUCAGAGCCGGAGACCAGCAUGUGAGAACGGAAGCAGAAGCUGAAGUGCUGGGGGGCCACGAGCUGAGGAAUGCAAGGAGCUUGUAGAAGCUGGAAAAGGCUAGGAACGGAUUCUUCUCUAGAGUGUCCAGAAGGAACACAACUCUGCCAUCACCUUGUUUUAAGUCGAGUGAGACUGAUUUUGGCCUACUGACCUCCAAAACUAUUUUCUAGAGAACUGCAUAGAAAUGUGUGGAUGUGUGGGGCUCCCUUUCCUAUAAAUCCCUCCAUUGACAUGAUGCUCUUUGAGAACAAACGUAACCCAAAUGGGACAGUGGACCACGCCAGGCAACAUCUGCCUUUGUUCUGUCCCUACUUGAAGGCCAUACACUGUCCUCAGUGCAUCAAAGGCACACACAAUACAUAAUCCAACUCCUGAAACAUGGCUUAUCAGUGUAAUUUUUAUAGAAGCUUCCUAUUGAGGCAAAAGAGAGGAUUAUCUGUUGAACUAUUUAACACAAUUUAAUCCUGUUUACCCACCACGGCCCGUCUCUGUUCUCCAACCUCCUCCGUCGACAUAGCCUCAAAAAAUCUUUACUUUUCACAGCAGGAGCUCUGUGCCCGUAGGUAGUAUACCACACUGGGCAAACCAAAAGCAAUGGGCUUCAGAAGCUUGGCAAGAGAGAAGCAAGGAGAAAAAAAUACCAUCUUUGACCCUUUGCUGCUUCAACCAGACCUUGCUCUCCAAUUCCUUAGGGAAAACAGAAGGCCAAAAGCAAGAGAAACAAAAGAAGUUAAUACUCAGCUUUGGGACUUGCAAGGAACCAGAUCCUAAUGGUUUAAAUUCAUAUUUACGGGUUAUUUUUUUUUUACUAUAUAUAAUUUUCUCCCUAAUUAUUGACUUUAGAAAUGAACUUUAUUUGAAUGUGAUAGUCUAUGGUAUCACAGCAGCAUUGCUGGUGAUGGCAACAGCCCACGAGAAGAGUGAGGAGACGAAGGGGCAUUUUAGCUGGGCCUUGAAGGAUGAAUAGGACCUCAUCAGGGAGUGAUGAUGGGAAAGAUCCUGCUUCAUCUUUUUUUUCCGGACCUUGCAGUCUCUUCUCUUGCAUAAUUCCUACUGUGGGCGUUCUAGCCACAUUCACUUUCUGUGGAUCCUUUGGAUUCCUCAGCCUUUGCCC